This 77-nucleotide transfer RNA is filed under the name Candidatus Bathyarchaeota archaeon. RNAcentral describes it as "tRNA-Lys". It matches the Rfam family "tRNA". From Rfam's summary of the family: Transfer RNA (tRNA) molecules are approximately 80 nucleotides in length. Their secondary structure includes four short double-helical elements and three loops (D, anti-codon, and T loops). RNAcentral also lists the same sequence under 1 other name. The record is from RNAcentral. Lineage: Archaea; Thermoproteati; Candidatus Bathyarchaeota.
GGGCCCGUAGCUCAGCAAGGUAGAGCGGCGGGCUCUUAACCCGCGGGUCGAGGGUUCAAUUCCCUCCGGGCCCGCCA